Molecule: long non-coding RNA, 3356 nt
Organism: Malania oleifera
Lineage: Eukaryota; Viridiplantae; Streptophyta; Magnoliopsida; Santalales; Ximeniaceae
Exons: 3
Source: RefSeq, a predicted model, not a curated record
GCAAAAUAUCCACACAACCAAUUAAUCUAAUUAGGAUAGUAAUUAAUUUGAUUAGUAUUCAUACAAAGUUUGAGGCUUACUCCCUCUUGAGCUGCAAGCAUGUCAAAUAUCUGGUUAUGACACUACUAAUGACGGGUGAAUUUGCGAAUAGUGAGGCAACAAUGAAGCACCAUUGAUGGAAUUUUUAAAUUUGAUUUAUUGUUUUUUGUGGAUAUUUUGCUUUUUUCAGCACCUCUUGCUAACAAAAAAAAAAUCGUAAUUAAUAUUUUGCAUAGUUUUGGAAGUGCAAGGGAGGUAAAUGAUCAUAAUGAAACAACAAGAUACCACCUUACUUUCGAGUCAAACCACAAAUGGUUUUACUGCCGAAACCUUAACAGGGUUGGUGAUGUGAGCCAAAGAAGACCUCGUUGUUGUUUUUGAUUUUUUCUGUUUGUUUUUAUCUCUACCAUGUUAAUUGUUUACAAUUUUAUGCACGUCUCUAUUAUUUCUUAUCAUUUUAAGUGUUUUAACGAAUUCAAAGAGAAAGCUAGUGCUCACUGCUCAAGUGGCGGUCGCUAAGGAUACUCUGGAGGUGAGGUGAUCUUUACUUAUUAUUCAAUUGAGAGGCAAUAGUUAAAUAUUUACAAAGCAAAUAAUCAAUAUUGAACUCCACACAUCAUCAAUGGCAAAUCAAUGAAUUUUAAUUGUACUUAUUUGCUUAUAUCUGAGUCAUUUAUUCCUUUUAGGUAAAAUGUGAAACCAAAUCAGCGAGGAGGCACUCCUUGGGGAGCUUUAGUGAUGACUAGGAAAACUUCUAAAGCGAGGGCAUUCCCAUUCAUUUGAUGAGGUGGUGGAGUGAACCAAUAUGUGAAUACUUGCCUCCGGCCAUCAUCUAGUCGAUUUGCCCUUGCCAACUGGACUAGUCGCCGUCGCAGUCUGCAGUCGCCGCUGAACCUGGACCAGUCGCAGUCCGCACUCCGGAGACUGCACAGCCUCCGGCCCUCAUCUAAUCGAUUCGUCCUUGCCGACUGGACUAGUAGCCACCGCAGUCUGCAGUCGCCACUGGACCUGGAUCAGUAGCAGUCUGCACUCUGGCUAUUCCGCAGUCUGUAGUAUACUGAAGCUGGAUUUCGAAUUUAACAUGUUACAGAUUCAGCGUCAUCCCUUUGAUCUGAUUUUGCAGUUUUUCAAACAAUUCCAGCCUGUUUUAGGCUUCAAUUGGGUUGUCCUCUGAGAACCAGAUGCAAGAGCAUGAGAAUUUGUGUUGGAGAAAGCACGAAGGACACGAGGAUAAACAUCAGCAAAUGAUGGAAACUCUACACUAGCAGGUAUCUGGGACUAGACCACCUCAAACUCAGGUUUGUAACCCGCUAGAACCUAAAGAACUGUCAUCUACUCUCUUUUCUUCUGCAUCUCAUGAAUAUUGGCAAUUAUACGUCGCACAGUGUUAAGCUCCUCAUGAAUACACAUCAUCACUCCAAAAUACUCUAUAAGACUCCUAUUCUUAUCUCCUUGUUGUAACUGAAAGUACUCCAGUGAUAAAUUAUAAUAUGCGUAAUGUUACUAAAAAUCUCUUGGAUGCAUGCACAUCUGUGCAUUUUGGGGUUCCAUCGAGUUCUAUAAUAGUGAAAUAACCAAAGCAUCAUCCUGAAUGCACACUUUUGUUGUUCUCAUUAGAAGGUCCAGAUUGGAACAAGUGGUUAAAUUUUCCUAGUCCUGUUAAAUAAAUGCUAGCAGCCUUGGACCACUAAAUGUUAUUCUUUCCAUCCAACUUUUUAGUUGUAUAAUAUGUGGAAGCGAGGAAGGAAACAUGUUUUUGGGAUUCAUAGACUUCAUCCAAACACUCACUAACUAGAACAAUGUCAAACAAGAGGAACAAUCAAACUAACGGGAACAACCAUGAACAAGGUGAACCACCGAAACAACCACAGACAAGUUACCAACAAACUGAUAUAACACUGCCACAACCUCACAAAAUCAACUUAGGAGCACUACCACUACUCCAAGAGACUUACAAAUGGCCUUUACUAACACCGAACAACGACUAACAGGUUGCCCAGUGUAUGGUUGAAAAAGAUUGGAUCUUCGAACAAAACACAUGCCCGACAAUGUGAUAUUAUGGUUUCUGGAAGGAAUUAGAACAUGCUAAGAGGAAAAAAUCGGAAAAUGUGGUAGGAAACUGUCUCACGCUCCAACAUUUGAGGUUAGGACUAUCAACAAUCAUCUGACACGUGGGGGUGUGUGGGAUGGUUUCCAAUGACAAGAUUUUAUAGGGCUAUAGUUCGGAGGGUUCUGUUUUCGGUUGUGGUUGGUUUUGGGAGAUAUUGAAGUGUUGUGGUGGUUCUGAGAAGGGUAGCAACAUGAGGACAUUUUCUAGCGACACUUGAAUUUCAUUUGGUGGUAGGGUUUAGGUUGGAUCUUGCUCUAAUAUCAUAUUGAGAUUUUUGGUAAAAUGAAAGACCUAACACAAUGGUAGGUAUUCUCUCUCUUUAUUUAUAAUACAUAUCGAAUACAUUCUAAUUACCAUAAUACACUUAUGAACUCUCAGUUAGUAACAUAACACUAACACACUAGUGAUACUAAAUGACUACAAUAACCAUUAACAAAUAAUAUUUCUUUUAUUUAGGCUACAUUUUUUUACCUUUAUUGAAAUAGAUACGAUAAUUAAGGACCAGUCACAAUUAAAGUAGAAAAAGAUUAUAAUUGACUCGGUCAUUUUACAAAUCUAAAAUCCUUUAGUUCGAAAUCAAGGGAUGUUGCGAUAUGAAAUAAAAGGAACGUAAAUUUGUGAUCGAUUUACUAAAAAUAUUAUCUUUAAUUCAUUAGCACAUUUAUUUCACAUGGAAUUCCAUGCAUGUCAUGCACAUGCAUAUGUGUGUGUAUGAGUGCGCAUGUGCCAAUUAUAUGCGUGUACUUAUGUCUGCACAUGAAUGCAAGUCGUGAUAGAGCUAGAAAAUUGUUGGAGGAAUGCCAAGGCGAGUCACCAUAUAGAUACAUCGUUAUUUAUAGGCUCAAACACAAUUUUUUAGAGAGAGAAAAGUAAAAACAUGCCCAGAUAAAUAGCAUGGACACAUUUACACAAAAUAAGUUGUGCUUACGCAUUAGAUAAAGGAGAAAAUAUGCCAUAAACUCUGCUGUUGAUUCAAAUGCUGCCUGAUACUUUUAAAAGUAAUAUGUAAAUCCCUUGAACUGUGUUUCUGGUUAUAAAAAAACUCUUCAAUAAAAAAUUGGCUGUUGAAUUGAAAGAAUUGAGGUCAUGUGUAUUAUACAUGAACAUUUGUGUGUUUUUAUUUUUUUGAAAAAAAUUAUUUUAUAUCUAGUAAACAAAAUAAAGGGUGAAUAUCUUCAUUUUUUUUUUUAUUUAUAAAGAUGCAUAA